CCUACGGGAGGCAGCAGUGAGGAAUAUUGGUCAAUGGGCGCAAGCCUGAACCAGCCAAGUCGCGUGAGGGAUGACGGUCCUAUGGAUUGUAAACCUCUUUUGUCGGGGAGCAAGGCCCGCCACGUGUGGCGGGAAGGAGAGUACCCGAAGAAAAAGCAUCGGCUAACUCCUUGCCAGCAGCCGCGGUAUUACGGAGGGUGCGAGCGUUAUCCGGAUUUAUUGGGUUUACAGAGUGCGUAGGCGGAAGGUUAAGUCAGCGGUCAAAUGUCGGGGCUCAACACCGGCCUGCCGUUGAAACUGGUCGUCUUGAGUGAGCGAGAAGUAUGCGGAAUGCGUGGUGUAGCGGUGAAAUGCAUAGAGAUCACGCAGAACUCCGGUUGCGAAGGCAGCAUACCGGCGCUCAACUGACGCUGAGGCACGAAAGCGUGGGGAUCGAACAGGAUUAGAUACCCCGGUAGUC
RNAcentral lists this ribosomal RNA (460 nucleotides) under uncultured bacterium. RNAcentral describes it as "partial 16S ribosomal RNA". It matches the Rfam family "Bacterial small subunit ribosomal RNA", at positions 338 to 795 of the family's 1533-position model. The record is from RNAcentral.